Molecule: long non-coding RNA, 616 nt
Organism: Pseudomyrmex gracilis
Lineage: Eukaryota; Metazoa; Arthropoda; Insecta; Hymenoptera; Formicidae
Exons: 3
Source: RefSeq, a predicted model, not a curated record
CUUAUAAGGUUUGUUUUAUUUCUCUGCACUACUUGCACGAGUUCAAGAAGUGUACACUGAAACGUUUUUUUUGACGGAAAUGACGUCAUGUUUGCUGUUUUUUUAGCAGUGCAGUGGUGCUUAGGUCAGUCAGUUCACUGUACUGGCUGCCAGAGAUGCCAGAUUCUGAACACUUGGUAGCAUGCGGUAGCAUGUGCGAUCGCGCUCGAGACUUCGGGCGCGAUCGCACACGUACACGAUCUGAGGUUGUGUGCGCAUCCCCUCCAUGCUACCGCAUGCUACCAAGGCUGUGUUCCAAAUUUACUGCCAGCACGCUGCCAGUGCUAAAAUUGUAUAAUAUAUGUGACUUAAACUAUAGAUCUCUAGCGCUGGCAGUGAAUUUUGAAACACAGCCCAAGUGUUCAGAAUCUGGCAUCUCUGCUGGCUGCCCCAGGUCUUGAGGUAGUGCAACGGUGCGGUUCAAUAUGGCGGAAAAUAAUUGUGCAAGGGAAAUCGAUAAUGACAUCGCUUUUAUAAAACGAGACAAAGAAGGCAAUAUUUUGGUUAAAGAUGGAUUUGUUACGUGUAUUUCUGAAGUGUCUUGAUUAAAUUAAAUGAAAAGAGAAAUGAAAGUAAU